RNAcentral lists this ribosomal RNA (253 nucleotides) under uncultured bacterium. RNAcentral's name for it is "partial 16S ribosomal RNA". It matches the Rfam family "Bacterial small subunit ribosomal RNA", at positions 524 to 776 of the family's 1533-position model. The record is from RNAcentral.
UACGAGGGGGGCAAGCGUUGUUCGGAAUUAUUGGGCGUAAAGGGCGCGUAGGCGGUGCGGUAAGUCACCUGUGAAACCUCUAGGCUCAACCUAGAGCCUGCAGGCGAAACUGCCGUGCUUGAGGGUGGGAGAGGUGCGUGGAAUUCUCGGUGUAGCAGUGAAAUGCGUAGAUAUCGAGAGGAACACCAGUGGCGAAGGCGAGUCCCUGGACACUUCCUGACACUGAGGCACGAAAGCUAGGGGAGCAAACAGG